GAGUGAAAAAGAACCUGAAACCGUGUACGUACAAGCAGUGGGAGCCCCACCACUAAGCCAGUGGUGAACUCCACAUACGCAUCCUUUGCUGAGGAUACGGUUAACGGAGCGAAAGCGACGUUCAACCGCAAAAGAAGCAGAGGGGGCUUAGUGGUGGGGUGACUGCGUACCUUUUGUAUAAUGGGUCAGCGACUUAUAUUCUGUAGCAAGGUUAACCGUAUAGGGGAGCCGGAGGGAAACCGAGUCUUAAUUGGGCGUUAAGUUGCAGGGUAUAGACCCGAAACCCGGUGAUCUAGCCAUGGGCAGGUUGAAGGUUGGGUAACACUAACUGGAGGACCGAACCGACUAAUGUUGAAAAAUUAGCGGAUGACCUGUGGCUGGGGGUGAAAGGCCAAUCAAACCGGGAGAUAGCUGGUUCUCCCCGAAAGCUAUUUAGGUAGCGCCUCGUGAAUUCAUCUCCGGGGGUAGAGCACUGUUUCGGCUAGGGGGCCAUCCCGGCUUACCAACCCGAUGCAAACUGCGAAUACCGGAGAAUGUUAUCACGGGAGACACACGGCGGGUGCUAACGUCCGUCGUGAAGAGGGAAACAACCCAGACCGCCAGCUAAGGUCCCAAAGUCAUGGUUAAGUGGGAAACGAUGUGGGAAGGCCCAGACAGCCAGGAUGUUGGCUUAGAAGCAGCCAUCAUUUAAAGAAAGCGUAAUAGCUCACUGGUCGAGUCGGCCUGCGCGGAAGAUGUAACGGGGCUAAACCAU
RNAcentral lists this ribosomal RNA (754 nucleotides) under Salmonella enterica subsp. enterica serovar Saintpaul. Its description in RNAcentral is "partial 23S ribosomal RNA". It matches the Rfam family "Bacterial large subunit ribosomal RNA", at positions 536 to 1190 of the family's 2925-position model. The record is from RNAcentral. Lineage: Bacteria; Pseudomonadati; Pseudomonadota; Gammaproteobacteria; Enterobacterales; Enterobacteriaceae.